AGACCCGAAACCCGGUGAUCUAGCCAUGGGCAGGUUGAAGGUUGGGUAACACUAACUGGAGGACCGAACCGACUAAUGUUGAAAAAUUAGCGGAUGACCUGUGGCUGGGGGUGAAAGGCCAAUCAAACCGGGAGAUAGCUGGUUCUCCCCGAAAGCUAUUUAGGUAGCGCCUCGUGAAUUCAUCUCCGGGGGUAGAGCACUGUUUCGGCUAGGGGGCCAUCCCGGCUUACCAACCCGAUGCAAACUGCGAAUACCGGAGAAUGUUAUCACGGGAGACACACGGCGGGUGCUAACGUCCGUCGUGAAGAGGGAAACAACCCAGACCGCCAGCUAAGGUCCCAAAGUCAUGGUUAAGUGGGAAACGAUGUGGGAAGGCCCAGACAGCCAGGAUGUUGGCUUAGAAGCAGCCAUCAUUUAAAGAAAGCGUAAUAGCUCACUGGUCGAGUCGGCCUGCGCGGAAGAUGUAACGGGGCUAAACCAUGCACCGAAGCUGCGGCAGCGACACUGUGUGUUGUUGGGUAGGGGAGCGUUCUGUAAGCCUGUGAAGGUGUGUCGUGAGGCAUGCUGGAGGUAUCAGAAGUGCGAAUGCUGACAUAAGUAACGAUAAAGCGGGUGAAAAGCCCGCUCGCCGGAAGACCAAGGGUUCCUGUCCAACGUUAAUCGGGGCAGGGUGAGUCGACCCCUAAGGCGAGGCCGAAAGGCGUAGUCGAUGGGAAACGGGUUAAUAUUCCCGUACUUGGUGUUACUGCGAAGGGGGGACGGAGAAGGCUAUGUUGGCCGGGCGACGGUUGUCCCGGUUUAAGCGUGUAGGUGUGUGUUCCAGGUAAAUCCGGUUCACUUUAACACUGAGGCGUGACGACGAGGCACUACGGUGCUGAAGCAACAAAUGCCCUGCUUCCAGGAAAAGCCUCUAAGCAUCAGGUAACAUCAAAUCGUACCCCAAACCGACACAGGUGGUCAGGUAGAGAAUACCAAGGCGCUUGAGAGAACUCGGGUGAAGGAACUAGGCAAAAUGGUGCCG
Molecule: ribosomal RNA, 1021 nt
Filed under: Salmonella enterica subsp. enterica serovar Heidelberg
Lineage: Bacteria; Pseudomonadati; Pseudomonadota; Gammaproteobacteria; Enterobacterales; Enterobacteriaceae
Description: partial 23S ribosomal RNA
Rfam family: Bacterial large subunit ribosomal RNA
Source: RNAcentral